CAUGCAAGUCUACUUGAUCCUUCGGGUGAAGGUGGCGGACGGGUGAGUAACGCGUAAAGAACUUGCCUUACAGACUGGGACAACAUUUGGAAACGAAUGCUAAUACCGGAUAUUAUGACUGAGUCGCAUGAUUUGGUUAUGAAAGCUAUAUGCGCUGUGAGAGAGCUUUGCGUCCCAUUAGUUAGUUGGUGAGGUAACGGCUCACCAAGACGAUGAUGGGUAGCCGGCCUGAGAGGGUGAACGGCCACAAGGGGACUGAGACACGGCCCUUACUCCUACGGGAGGCAGCAGUGGGGAAUAUUGGACAAUGGACCAAAAGUCUGAUCCAGCAAUUCUGUGUGCACGAUGAAGUUUUUCGGAAUGUAAAGUGCUUUCAGUUGGGAAGAAGUCAGUGACGGUACCAACAGAAGAAGCGACGGCUAAAUACGUGCCAGCAGCCGCGGUAAUACGUAUGUCGCAAGCGUUAUCCGGAUUUAUUGGGCGUAAAGCGCGUCUAGGCGGUUUAGUAAGUCUGAUGUGAAAAUGCGGGGCUCAANCCCCGUAUUGCGUUGGAAACUGUUAAAACUAGAGUACUGGAGAGGUAGGCGGAACUACAAGUGUAGAGGUGAAAUUCGUAGAUAUUUUGUAGGAAUGCCGAUGGGGAAGCCAGCCUACUGGACAGAUACUGACGCUAAAGCGCGAAAGCGUGGGUAGCAAACAGGAUUAGAUACCCUGGUAGUCCACGCCGUAAACGAUGAUUACUAGGUGUUUGGGGGUCGAACCUCAGCGCCCAAGCUAACGCGAUAAGUAAUCCGCCUGGGGAGUACCGUACGCAAGUAUGAAACUCNAAAGGAAUUGACGGGGACCCGCACAAGCGGUGGAGCAUGUGGUUUAAUUCGACGCAACGCGAGGAACCUUACCAGCGUUUGACAUCCCAAGAAGUUAACAGAGAUGUUUUCGUGCCUCUUCGGAGGAACUUGGUGACAGGUGGUGCAUGGCUGUCGUCAGCUCGUGUCGUGAGAUGUUGGGUUAAGUCCCGCAACGAGCGCAACCCCUUUCGUAUGUUACCAUCAUUAAGUUGGGGACUCAUGCGAGACUGCCUGCGAUGAGCAGGAGGAAGGUGGGGAUGACGUCAAGUCAUCAUGCCCCUUAUACGCUGGGCUACACACGUGCUACAAUGGGUAGUACAGAGAGCUGCAAACCUGCGAGGGUAAGCUAAUCUCAUAAAACUAUUCUUAGUUCGGAUUGUACUCUGCAACUCGAGUACAUGAAGUUGGAAUCGCUAGUAAUCGCAAAUCAGCUAUGUUGCGGUGAAUACGUUCUCGGGUCUUGUACACACCGCCCGUCACACCACGAGAGUUGGUUGCACCUGAAGUAAUCAGGCCUAACCGUAAGGAGGGAUUUCCGAGGG
Molecule: ribosomal RNA, 1390 nt
Filed under: bacterium NLAE-zl-P552
Lineage: Bacteria
Description: 16S ribosomal RNA
Rfam family: Bacterial small subunit ribosomal RNA
Source: RNAcentral